GUGUCAGCAGCCGCGGUAAGACGAACCGAGCGAACGUUGUUCGGAAUCACUGGGCUUAAAGGGCGCGUAGGCGGGCUGGACAGUCCGUGGUGAAAUCCCCCGGCCCAACCGGGGAACGGCCUCGGAUACUUUCGGCCUGGAGGGAGGUAGGGGCGUGCGGAACUGUGGGUGGAGCGGUGAAAUGCGUUGAGAUCCACAGGAACUCCGGUGGCGAAGGCGGCACGCUGGACCUCACCUGACGCUGAGGCGCGAAAGCCAGGGGAGCGAACGGGAUUAGAUACCCCGGUAGUCCUGGCCCUAAACGUUGGGAACUAGGUAGUAGCCCGCGCAUGGGGUUACUGCCGGAGCAAAAGUGCUAAGUUCCCCGCCUGGGGAGUAUGGUCGCAAGGCUGAA
This 394-nucleotide ribosomal RNA is filed under the name uncultured bacterium. Its description in RNAcentral is "bacterial SSU rRNA". It matches the Rfam family "Bacterial small subunit ribosomal RNA", at positions 505 to 898 of the family's 1533-position model. The record is from RNAcentral.